AUUGAACGCUGGCGGCAGGCCUAACACAUGCAAGUCGAGCGAGCGGCGGACGGGUGAGUAAUGUAUGGGGACUGCCCGAUAGAGGGGGAUAACUACUGGAAACGGUGGCCAAUACCGCAUACUAUCGGAUAACCCAUAUGGGAUUAGCUAGUAGGUGGGGUAAAGGCUCACCUGGGAGACGAUCUCUAGCUGGUCUGGAAGGAUGAUCAGCCACACUGGAACGGGGAAACGCCCCGGAGUCCUACGGAGGCAGCAGUGGGGAAUAUUGCACAAGGGGCGCAAGCCUGAUGAGGCCAUGCGGCGUGUAUGAAGAGGGCCUUAGGGUUGUAAGGUACUUUCAGCGGGGAGGCGUUACCCGCAGAAGAAGCACCGGCUAACUCCGUGCCAGCCGCCGCGGUAAUAC
This 403-nucleotide ribosomal RNA is filed under the name uncultured bacterium. RNAcentral's name for it is "partial 16S ribosomal RNA". It matches the Rfam family "Bacterial small subunit ribosomal RNA", at positions 29 to 526 of the family's 1533-position model. The record is from RNAcentral.